AACGAGUAAAGUGGCGAACGGGUGCGUAACACGUGAGUUAUUUACCCUUUAGUGAAGGAUACCUUCGGGAAACCGAAGUUAAUACUGCAUAAGUCUUUUCGAAGAGAAAGGUGGCCUCUUUGCUACCGCUAAAGGAUAAGCUUGCGGACUAUUAGCUAGUUGGUAGGGUAAAGGCCUACCAAGGCUUAGAUGGUUAGCCGACCUGAGAGGGUGAUCGGCCACAUUGGGACUGAGAUACGGCCCAGACUCC
This 250-nucleotide ribosomal RNA is filed under the name uncultured bacterium. RNAcentral's name for it is "partial 16S ribosomal RNA". It matches the Rfam family "Bacterial small subunit ribosomal RNA", at positions 85 to 339 of the family's 1533-position model. The record is from RNAcentral.